GGUGGCUCAGUGAUAGAGUGUUUGCCUUGCAUGCAUGAGGCCCUGGGUUCGAUUCCCCAGUACCA
Molecule: transfer RNA, 65 nt
Filed under: Dipodomys ordii (Ord's kangaroo rat)
Lineage: Eukaryota; Metazoa; Chordata; Mammalia; Rodentia; Heteromyidae
Rfam family: tRNA
About the family: Transfer RNA (tRNA) molecules are approximately 80 nucleotides in length. Their secondary structure includes four short double-helical elements and three loops (D, anti-codon, and T loops).
Source: Rfam by way of RNAcentral